RNAcentral lists this unclassified non-coding RNA (479 nucleotides) under Hevea brasiliensis (rubber tree). Lineage: Eukaryota; Viridiplantae; Streptophyta; Magnoliopsida; Malpighiales; Euphorbiaceae. The record is from RNAcentral.
AAAAAACUUAACCUUUUGGAAAAUCCGACUUGGAACCUUCUUGUUCCACCUCAGAUUCACUACACAGCCUUUCGCUGAGCAAGCCAUUUUUGGAUUAUUCCCGUGGAUACCUGCAUAUACAAUUGAUUGACCCAAUGGGAGCUGGGGAAGAGAGCACUCCUACAAAGACUUCAAAGCCUCCUUUAACUCAGGAGACACCAACCGCACCUUCAUAUCCUGAUUGGUCAAGCUCUAUGCAGGCUUAUUAUAGUGCUGGAGCUACUCCUCCUUUUUUUGCCUCACCUGUUGCUUCUCCUGCUCCCCACCCAUACAUGUGGGGAGGUCAGCAUCCUCUUAUGCCUCCUUAUGGGACUCCAGUUCCAUAUCCAGCUUUAUAUCCUCCUGCCGGAGUUUAUGCUCAUCCUAACAUUGCCACGCCGGCUCCAAAUUCUGUGCCGGCAAAUCCUGAAGCAGAUGGGAAGGGGCCUGAAGGAAAGGAU